GUACCAUGGUUAAGACAAAGCUACGCAAGUUUUAUCUAUCCCAGUUCUCUUUCAGUGUUUUAUUGCGUUUGUUUUUACAUUUUAAAGGUUGCACCAAAAAUCAAGGCUUUGAUGAUGGAAUCAGGGACAACAAUGGUCGGAUACCAGCCCCAGGGAGAUAAAGCUAACUUCUUCCGAAUGGUCAUCUCAAACCCUGCAGCCACCAAAUCUGACAUCGACUUCCUGAUUGAAGAAAUCGAGAGAUUGGGACUGGAGUUGUAAUAGUCGUGACAUGUUCUGUUAACCUCAUCCUCACCCACAUCAUGCUGAUAUGACAUUUCCAGCACUUUACGGGUUAACUGGCUUAAAACAAGGUUUUAGAACAAUAGACAUUCCCUCAAUAAGUUAUAAAUGUGCAAUUCUCUUCUGGCACUUCAACCAACAUAGGUUGCUGAAACAUACACUAAAUAUUAUAACAGAGAUAAGCAAUAUUAUCUAAUAGGUGUACAGUAGAACCUUAUUUUAGUGUGUUUGUUAAGGUAAUCAGAAGCCUACAUGGGAUUUGAAUGUUGUAAUAUAUAGUACUCUUUAAGUGUGAGGUGGCAUUUACUUAACCCCUUAAGGACACAUGACAUGUGUGACAUGUCAUGAUUCCCUUUUAUUCCAGAGGUUUGGUCCUUAAGGGGUUAAAGCAAGAAUUGUGGUGAACAAACAAGGGACGUUUUAGGCCAGAAUCACUAAACUUGAAAGCUACUAUUUUGACCUAAAUGUGUAGUUCCCUUGUGAACUCUCCAGAACACUAAAUUUACAGGUUAUUUACUUAUGUGAUGAAACUUUGAAAUUCAAUUGAAUUUUCACAUUGGUAAAUAAUCCUGUUAGGAACAGGGUCAGCUCUGGGCAUUGUUUGAGCCAGCAACUGAUUCAUACAGGGUUAUCCAAUAAACUGUGAGCUGGCAGAAACUGACAAGUGAAUCUCCAAUUUUAGGACAAAAAAAUGCUUAACUCUACAGUUCGCCUAUUUUAGCUUGAAAUUUGUAAUUUACUAGUCAAUGCCUAACAAGGCACAGUAUUCUUAGGAAACAUGAAGUAUUUGAGCGAACAAGGGACCUGGCCAGUGGGAUUUCUUAUCCCUAUGAUUAAAGGAUUCUUUCAUGGCCCUGUACUAUAUAACUAUACGUACACACUUAGAAGUACGCCACAAAAAAGUCUUGUUAAAAACAUGUAGGUUUCUGAAAUAUUAAAUGUGCUCUAAUGUGUUAAUACAAAUUGCUUCUGUAUAUGCAAGCUAGAGUAUUGAAUCAAUUUCUAUUUUUUACCACGCGUUCUAAUGCUCCACAGUACUAAAAACAACAAUAUUUUGCAAUCUUAUUCCUAAUCUCCUGAAUUGAUGACAAUUCAGUGUGUUAACUAGCAAGCUUUAGAAAAUAAGCACAUGAUGUCAUCAAGCUGUACUGCACCAUUGUUAUCUCUGUACAAAGAGGUUAAGUGAAUACAGCUACAGAUCAUGAUGCCUGUGAGGUUUAAACAUGUUCAGACUUCUUUCCAUAUUGUAGUAUCAUUCAAUACUUUGUGUAUUGCAGGCUCCAAGUCAGUUAUCUUUUGUUCUGAAUAACACUGGCUUUAAAAAACCUACAUGAAUGUCUCUUUAAAGGGACAAUCCCAUAUGAUAAAAAAUGUAUAUAAGAACUAGGGUUUCUUUGCUAAUGCGUGACAAAAGUCAGAACUAAGAAUGUAUAGAAAAGAGGAUAUUGUUUAAAUACAAUCGCAAUAACUAUUGAACUGUGAAGUAUUGAAAGUGAGUAUACAAACCAGAAAAGAAUUGCUUACAUCCCUUUGCAUAUAAAGCAUAUUUGUAUGUAUAUAUUAACCCAUUAGAGUCCAUUUAAAUAAAUCCUGCCUAACAGUAUUAAACCUUAUUGUUGGUGCUUUAAUACCUUUAGACAGCACCAUCCAGUAAGUAGAUUGCUCGUCCCCUUUGUAGUGUCUUGGGGGUAAUAAUAGCACAGUUGUCGUAACAGGUACUAUAUUGCUGUAUUUUUAGGGAUUAAUUUAUGUAGAUUGUGUACAUUAUUGUUAAAUGACUUUGUGCAAUGGGAAUAAAUGUAAUAGUUUUACAGUUAUUUAACAGCUAAAUGAUAGUUAUAAAAAAAAAUAAUUGCUUAUUUAUAUGCAGAGAUUUCCCAUGUUAAAGAGGUGUCUUGUAUUUUCUUCCAUUUGUAAUGUAAUCUAUUUAUAUUAUAUACAUAUAAAUAUAUAAAUAUAUAUACAGUAUAUAUUAAUGAACUAAGUUCUAAAUAACGUUUAUUGUAAUUCAGUGUCUUUGUGAGCCAAAGAAAUCUGAGAAAUAUAGUGGAACCAGGAAUUACGUUCAAAUGCCCUCAAAAGGCAUUUCAGAAAGAAAAAUAAAAUUCCAUUUACACCCUUUGGGUGUGAGAGGUGCACCCUUGCAGUGUACAAAAAGUUAGGUAGGAACACAGGAGUCUAGUUUAGCAAACUUACUGCUAACAACUAGCUGUCAUCAGUCAUUUGCAUUGCAUACCGAUACAUUUAUCACGGCAAAAUUGGAGCAAUCUUGGGGCAAUACGCUAAAUGUGGAGCAAUCACCAAACAAAGGAUUUCUACUGAUUCCUCUACUGUAGUAGAAGAUAGAAGGUAGAUAUUCAACAGACAAUCCAGCUUUUGGUCAACUGAUAAUCUAGCUUUUUGGUCAGCUUUGGUCAACUGAUGAUCUAGCUUUUAGUCAACUUUGGUCUAGAGCAGAGGUAUGCAAGUUUUGGCAAUCCUGAUGUAUUGGACUACAUCUCCCAUAAUACUCUUACAGCCAUAAUGUAGUGCUGUAUAAAUGUAGUGCACAACAUCUGGAGUGCCGAAGGAUGCCGACCGCUUGCUCUAGAACAAAUGUUUAGCCUUCUGUGAUAUACUGAAGGUCUAAAACUGCAGUAGAGCUACCCUAUGGCGACCUCUAGUGCACUGAUUUGGAAUUAAUUCAGAACAUAUACAUGAUUGGCCAUUGAUUUCCAAAGUAAUUAGGUUCUUUUUCAUGUGUGAAAAUGUUUAAGAUAGAGAUUAAUUUGCCCGUUCUCUGCCCAGGAUAAGUCCUGUGGAAAAAUCAAAGCACCUUGUUAAAAAACUCACACAAAGACCAAUUCUUGGGCAAGUUGCCAGCCGUGAAACAGUCAGUUUGAACAUUCUGUAGUUUCCAUGGUGAUCAGAGCAGGAUUAACCAUACGGCGACUCUCAACGGCCACCUAGCGUCCAGGAAUUAGACAGGUACCCCAGAACCAUGAAAUUAUUUGUCCAUUAACCAUCCCUGUGUAAAGAAUGCAAGGGGGGGGGGGCCAUAACUGGCAACCUGCCGAGGACCCCAUGUUAAAAAAAUUAUUUCUUUGAUUGGUCAUAGCUCCACUUCUAGAAUUUAUCCCCAGAAUUUCUCUUUAAGGACGUGGUCAAUAUAAGCCAUUAGACAUAAUUAUUUUGCAGAUCCUAGCACUAUUAAACAGAGUAUUUAAACUCAGUAUUGAUUUUGAUAAUCAUGCUAUAUUCAACGUGCUGAAUCAGAACAUGGUUAACUAUUUAUUUAUUGUUGCUUGGUUUUGUGUGAUUUUCACACUGCUUACACCAUACCUCUUUCUCCCUAAUGAAAACAUUUUGCUGCAAUGCCACUAUUUCUUGAAGCAUUACUGUAUAUAAGCAGUAUGCACAGUAUAUGUGUAGUGUGUUUCUACAUUAUCAUAUUAACCUUAACUAGUAUAGAAUCAACAGAUAUGCUGUAGUUAUAUUAGGAGUAUCACCAGUACAUUAAGUAACGUAUAUGCAUUGACGUGCGUCACCUCCAAUCUAUUGCACCUUUCCCAAGGAUGAUAUUCUGUGAGCGCCAAUGAGGUCGAGUUUUAACCUUUAACCUCCUGGCAUAAAAAGAGUUAACAGGUACGAUCCAGUAUAAGGUUUUAAAACAUGGUUGCUCACACACGAUAGCAUUGUUAGAUAUAGCUAGUUGAGAAUCAUUAGAGGUUUAGUCCAUGGGUCCUUUGGCUCCCAUUUUAUAGACAGAACAAUUAUAAGAUAUCUAAAUAGAGAUAAAUGGAUUAAAAUGGCAUUAAUUGACUAACUACAUAACAUGUAAUUGGUAAACAUUAAAUAUUUCUCAAAGGAGAAUUCGUUUGUACCCCGUCUCCAUUCCAUGUGUUAAUUCAUGUAAUCUGUGUAUGUAUUAUGUUUUAAUAAUAUGCCUUAGCAAACCAUUUAAACAUGAUCACUGCGGGUCACAUAUUGUCUCUGAAAUGACUUUAUGCCAGACAUUCCACCAAUUAAAACAGAAAUAGUAGCAUUUAAGUAUUGGAAGCACAGCAUUACAGCAAACAGAUGGAAACGUUAUAAAAAACACCGUCAUUAUACUUCAAACCUGGUAAUCAGAAAGCUCAGUAAUGAUCUCUGACGGGACAUGCCAGGUGCUAUAUUAUUAACAUGAACGCACAUGUAACAUGUGAUGUCACAAACCGACAUAGUAUCUUACUAAGCGUCUUUUCCCAGAUUUUAUGGCACAUCAUUACGCCCGUGCCGCUCUCAUUGCUCUUAUCCACAAUAAAACAAGAAUAUACCAGUCUCAUAAUAUUUCCACCCACAGGACCACUUACCUACUUACUUAAACAAGUGUUCUUAAACACAAGAGGUCAAGGUUUUUCCAGAUAUCUCCAUGGACAAUCCCAAAAUCCAGAUCUCAUCAAUCAGACCCCCUUUCAACAAAUCCCAAACUCUAGGUGUACAACGGAGUUCUAUAACGUAAUGUGCUUUUGUGUAUUGAAAAAACGGUGCAUUUCAAUAUAUAUUCUAUGGGCCACUUUUGGGAAUCAAACGAAUUGUUCCCUGUUCUGUGUUCAGGAUGUGAAAUUGUAAUAUUGAAAACCAACCAGGCUCUUUCACAUUUACAGCAUCUUCCGAAAGACAAACUAAAGGGGCAAAUUGCAAUGGUCUAUAAUGCUACCCAAAAGGCACAAAAAAUAGAGGACAGACUCUUAUUUAAAGGAUCCUAAUGCAAAUGAUUAGGAACCUUUUUCAAAAUUUCUACCAUUUUUUUUCCAGGAAAUAUGGUUCACAGUUUCAUAAAAAUAGUAGAUGACAGAGAACAUCCCUAAUCAGUUGAAAUUAAUAAAUACAGAACGCUAAUUCGUCAUAAUGUUCAUUUUCAUCCGCAUCCCAUUAAAUCACAAAUCCACGAUCAUAUUCUAAGUAAAAUGAAAAUGUGCCAAAAUGUCUUGUGAGGUUUCACUUGUUGUGAAAAUCUUGUGACAAUCGUAUCUUGUCAAAAUGUUUUGUAAAAUUAUCAUAAAAUGCUGUGUUUGUCUUCGUUCCUGCUAUAUGAAAGCACAAAGCGGCUUUAUACUGAAACAGAUUACAGAUACAAAUAAUAAAUGCAAAUUUAGUGGAAAGCCGCAUCUGACUAAUUUUCUUUCUGUAAAUCCAACAAUUGAAAAAAAUCUCUUAUCAGCCGUAAGAUUCCAUCGGAACUGAAUGUAUUUUAUUAAAUAAUGAAUGGUGUGUUUUUCAGAAUUCCAAACGUGUG
Non-coding RNA from Pelobates cultripes (western spadefoot toad), 5539 nucleotides. The record is from the annotation of a GenBank genome assembly. Lineage: Eukaryota; Metazoa; Chordata; Amphibia; Anura; Pelobatidae.